UGGUGGGUAGUUUGACUGGGGCGGUCUCCUCCUAAAGAGUAACGGAGGAGCACGAAGGUUGGCUAAUCCUGGUCGGACAUCAGGAGGUUAGUGCAAUGGCAUAAGCCAGCUUGACUGCGAGCGUGACGGCGCGAGCAGGUGCGAAAGCAGGUCAUAGUGAUCCGGUGGUUCUGAAUGGAAGGGCCAUCGCUCAACGGAUAAAAGGUACUCCGGGGAUAACAGGCUGAUACCGCCCAAGAGUUCAUAUCGACGGCGGUGUUUGGCACCUCGAUGUCGGCUCAUCACAUCCUGGGGCUGAAGUAGGUCCCAAGGGUAUGGCUGUUCGCCAUUUAAAGUGGUACGCGAGCUGGGUUUAGAACGUCGUGAGACAGUUCGGUCCCUAUCUGCCGUGGGCGCUGGAGAACUGAGGGGGGCUGCUCCUAGUACGAGAGGACCGGAGUGGACGCAUCACUGGUGUUCGGGUUGUCAUGCCAAUGGCACUGCCCGGUAGCUAAAUGCGGAAGAGAUAAGUGCUGAAAGCAUCUAAGCACGAAACUUGCCCCGAGAUGAGUUCUCCCUGAGACUUAGAGUCUCCUGAAGGAACGUUGAAGACGACGACGUUGAUAGGCCGGGUGUGUAAGCGCAGCGAUGCGUUGAGCUAACCGGUACUAAUGAACCGUGAGGCUUAACC
RNAcentral lists this ribosomal RNA (670 nucleotides) under Salmonella enterica subsp. enterica serovar Infantis. Its description in RNAcentral is "partial 23S ribosomal RNA". It matches the Rfam family "Bacterial large subunit ribosomal RNA", at positions 2259 to 2925 of the family's 2925-position model. The record is from RNAcentral. Lineage: Bacteria; Pseudomonadati; Pseudomonadota; Gammaproteobacteria; Enterobacterales; Enterobacteriaceae. RNAcentral also lists the same sequence under 6 other names.